RNAcentral lists this ribosomal RNA (253 nucleotides) under uncultured bacterium. Its description in RNAcentral is "partial 16S ribosomal RNA". It matches the Rfam family "Bacterial small subunit ribosomal RNA", at positions 524 to 776 of the family's 1533-position model. The record is from RNAcentral.
UACGGAGGGGGCAAGCGUUGUUCGGAAUUACUGGGCGUAAAGGGCGCGUAGGCGGCCAGUUGCGUCGGGUGUGAAAGCCCCGGGCUCAACCUGGGAGGUGCACUUGAUACGGGCUGGCUGGAAUCCGGGAGAGGAUGGUGGAAUUCCCAGUGUAGAGGUGAAAUUCGUAGAUAUUGGGAAGAACACCGAUGGCGAAGGAAGCCAUCGGGACCGGGAUUGACGUUGAGGCGCGAAAGCGUGGGGAGCAAACAGG